GACGAACGCUGGCGGCGUGCUUAACACAUGCAAGUCGAACGGAAAGGCCCUGCUUUUGUGGGGUGCUCGAGUGGCGAACGGGUGAGUAACACGUGAGUAACCUGCCCUUGACUUUGGGAUAACUUCAGGAAACUGGGGCUAAUACCGGAUAGGAGCUCCUGCUGCAUGGUGGGGGUUGGAAAGUUUCGGCGGUUGGGGAUGGACUCGCGGCUUAUCAGCUUGUUGGUGGGGUAGUGGCUUACCAAGGCUUUGACGGGUAGCCGGCCUGUGAGGGUGACCGGAGACAUUGGGACUGAGAGACGGCCCAGACUCCUACGGGAGGCAGCAGUGGGGAAUAUUGCACAAUGGGCGGAAGCCUGAUGCAGCAACGCCGCGUGCGGGAUGACGGCCUUCGGGUUGUAAACCGCUUUCGCCUGUGACGAAGCGUGAGUGACGGUAAUGGGUAAAGAAGCACCGGCUAACUACGUG
RNAcentral lists this ribosomal RNA (468 nucleotides) under uncultured bacterium. RNAcentral describes it as "partial 16S ribosomal RNA". It matches the Rfam family "Bacterial small subunit ribosomal RNA", at positions 28 to 507 of the family's 1533-position model. The record is from RNAcentral.